RNAcentral lists this ribosomal RNA (445 nucleotides) under uncultured bacterium. RNAcentral's name for it is "bacterial SSU rRNA". It matches the Rfam family "Bacterial small subunit ribosomal RNA", at positions 30 to 473 of the family's 1533-position model. The record is from RNAcentral.
AUUGAACGCUGGCGGAAUGCUUUACACAUGCAAGUCGAACGGCAGCACGGGGGCAACCCUGGUGGCGAGUGGCGAACGGGUGAGUAAUAUAUCGGAACGUGCCCAGUCGUGGGGGAUAACGCAGCGAAAGCUGUGCUAAUACCGCAUACGAUCUACGGAUGAAAGCGGGGGAUCGCAAGACCUCGCGCGAUUGGAGCGGCCGAUAUCAGAUUAGCUAGUUGGUGGGGUAAAAGCCCACCAAGGCGACGAUCUGUAGCUGGUCUGAGAGGACGACCAGCCCCACUGGAACUGAGACACGGUCCAGACUCCUACGGGAGGCAGCAGUGGGGAAUUUUGGACAAUGGGCGCAAGCCUGAUCCAGCAAUGCCGCGUGCAGGAUGAGGGCCUUCGGGUUGUAAACUGCUUUUGUACGGAACGAAAAGGUCUGCCCUAAUACGGCGGGCUC